GUUAGGUUAGUUUAACAAAAACGUUAGUUUGUGGAGCUAAAAAUGAAAACUAUUUUCACUUAACC
This 65-nucleotide transfer RNA is filed under the name Batillaria attramentaria. Its description in RNAcentral is "tRNA-His". It matches the Rfam family "tRNA". Rfam says of the family: Transfer RNA (tRNA) molecules are approximately 80 nucleotides in length. Their secondary structure includes four short double-helical elements and three loops (D, anti-codon, and T loops). Further hydrogen bonds mediate the characteristic L-shaped molecular structure. tRNAs have two regions of fundamental functional importance: the anti-codon, which is responsible for specific mRNA codon recognition, and the 3' end, to which the tRNAs corresponding amino acid is attached (by aminoacyl-tRNA synthetases). tRNAs cope with the degeneracy of the genetic code in two manners: having more than one tRNA (with a specific anti-codon) for a particular amino acid; and 'wobble' base-pairing, i.e. permitting non-standard base-pairing at the 3rd anti-codon position. Lineage: Eukaryota; Metazoa; Mollusca; Gastropoda; Batillariidae. The record is from RNAcentral.